ACAGAAAUUGAGUCUUAGCCUCUC
This 24-nucleotide non-coding RNA is filed under the name Cricetulus griseus (Chinese hamster). Lineage: Eukaryota; Metazoa; Chordata; Mammalia; Rodentia; Cricetidae. The record is from RNAcentral.